Molecule: unclassified non-coding RNA, 281 nt
Filed under: Hevea brasiliensis (rubber tree)
Lineage: Eukaryota; Viridiplantae; Streptophyta; Magnoliopsida; Malpighiales; Euphorbiaceae
Source: RNAcentral
GAGAAGAGAGAAAAUUCAAAAAGAAACAAACAUCUUUGUUUCUCUCUCUGUUUUCUUCUCUCUCCUCUAGGGUUUCUCAAAUUCAUCCUUUUUCAGCAAAAAGGCAUUGCCUUUUCAUCCAUUUGAAGCAUAUAUUGUUCUCAGCUUAAAGAAGCUUUCACAAUCAUGGUCUUCUGGAUUUUCGGCUAUGGCUCCUUGGUAUGGAAUCCAGGUUUUGAAUAUGAUGAGAAACUGAUUGGUUACAUUAAGGAUUACAAGCGUGUAUUUGAUCUUGCUUGCAU